GCUGGGUGUGGUGGUGCACGCCUGUAAUCCCAGCUACUCAGGAGGCUGAGGCAGAAGAAUCACUUGAACUCGGGAGGCAGAGGUUGCAGUGAGCCAAGAUUGCGCCACUGCACUCCAGCCUGGGUGACAGAAUGAGACUCUGUCUCAA
This 148-nucleotide non-coding RNA is filed under the name Pan paniscus (pygmy chimpanzee). The record is from Rfam by way of RNAcentral. RNAcentral also lists the same sequence under 1 other name. Lineage: Eukaryota; Metazoa; Chordata; Mammalia; Primates; Hominidae.